RNAcentral lists this long non-coding RNA (2134 nucleotides) under Zea mays. RNAcentral's name for it is "long non-coding RNA (ZMAY_LNC001653)". The record is from RNAcentral. Lineage: Eukaryota; Viridiplantae; Streptophyta; Magnoliopsida; Poales; Poaceae.
UAAUUCACAUAGUAUAAUAAAAAUGCAAAGGUAGUAAUUAACAUUCAUGACCAAAUAAAAAGAUAGGUAACUCAGUCCACCCCAAAAAUCUGUUUAACUACCAAGAAAGGCUAAAACAUAUUAAUCCCUCAGAUUAGACCCUCCCUGUUUAACAUCAUUAUUAAGCAGUGAUUCCUUUAUUUAAAAGUGUAGUGGUCAUGCUGCUACAUCCCUUCUUUUCCCAAAGCAAAGAUCAUGUGCCUGCAUCAGACAAUGCAAGAGUGAGAUGACACAUCUCACCAAGUAAAAAGAGCAAACAACAACUGGACAAUGUAAACAAACCGUGCUUAAACAACCACGUAGUUCACAACUUCCUUCUUGAAUAUUAAUUUGCAGCAAGUAAGCAUGUAACCAAUUACUUAGUUACAAGAUGAAGUACAAGGUAAAGAUCUACACUAUCCACAUCCACAUAAUAGGUUCCACACUUCACCCCUGAAUGCACAUGGCUACAGAUACAGUAAUGACUUCUGCCUUCAUACCUCUAAAGAUAUGAAGCUGCAUCAUACCGCUUCUCGGGCAACAUAUGAUGCUCAUUGUAGUGGUACGGUCGGAUCACAAGAUCGCGACGAAACUUCCAUGCAAUGGAUGAUGAAUGCAUUAUGCAUGUCAACAACAUGAGUCCUUCCCAAAUAAAAUGUGCUAGACAUAUACUUCCACCCAUUCCACAUAAUAAACCACAUGGGUAACAUGAUCAAACCACAACCUCAACAUAUGUAAUCAAUAAAACAUGAAUAUCUUCAAAUGAUGGUACCCAAUUAGGAAUAUGAAUACGAACACAAAUGACACAAACAUAAUCAAGUAUAAGACCCUUUUAUCGACAGACGGAAUAACCAUCACUGUUUUACUUGCCUUCACCGGAAGAUUGGGCAAAUCCCUAAGUACGAUCCGAAAAUCUACCACCUGCUUUUGACACACAACUUAGUGCACCAAUUUCACAUAAUAACGCUCACAAACGACACCGCACCUACGCACAAUCUCAAACCCCGCCGCGGGUAACAACUCUCCCCAUACCCACCAAACUGCAGCGGCGCUGCUUAACAAUUUCAUAACUUUAAAAUUAUGACUGCAGUGGUAACAAACAAAAACUCCAGAGGCAUCUACAUAAAAUUCCCCACAAGUUUUGUAUACAAUUUAUAAUUAAAUUCCAACAUAUAAUAGCCCAAAACAGUCCACAAGAUCAACCCUGCAAUCUGUUUUUUUUUCUUUUGGACAGCGACAUACCCGGAUUCAAACAGCGAUAUAUUUUAAAAUAUAAUUCCGAAUCGAGCGCAUAAGUACCCGUUGGAAAGGUAUGACAAAGGUCUACAUGAUUCUCAUAUUGAUUACCACUAAUUUUCUACGAAAAAUCCCCAGAAACUGCUACUACUACUGCUGUUCGCCCACCUGCAGAAAUCUGUUUUUUUGGACAGCAACAUACUCAGAUUCAAACAGCGAUAUCUUUUAAAAUAUAAUUCCGAAUCGAGCGCAUAAGUACCCAUUGGAAAGGUAUGACAAAGCUCUACAUGAUUCUCCCACUGAUCCCCACUAAUUUCCCACGAACAAUUCACAGAAAUCCCUAAAACUACUGCUAUUCGCCCACCUACAAAAUUUCUGGACAGCACCUAUACCGAUUCGCAUAGAUAAACAUAUAAUCAAUUGGAUUGCAGCACAAUUAAACAAGAUACAAACACAAAAAUCACCUUGAAUCCUCCCCCUUUCCUCCCUUCUUCUUCCCUCCACCAAAAACCACUGGGAGAAUUGCACUAACGCGACGUAGAUCCGAUCGGGAAAGGAAUGGCACCUUGGAGAGAAGGGCUUGAGGAGGGGCGGCUAGGGUUUGAUGGGGGGAAGGUGGGUGACGGCUGCAAAUGGGUGGAGUGAGAUGGGGUGGCGCCCAAGGCUAGAGAGAGGGGAUUAGGGGAGGGCGGCUAGGGUUAAGGGGAGGCUAAUGGGCCGGAUCGAGAUUCAUGGCCCAACUCGCCCACGCGACAGCUCCCGACCCCGUUGCAAGCGUCUAACCAAAGAAAUUCUACUGUCUUACUGGUGAAUGUUUUCCACAAAUUUCAAAUCCCCAAAGCGCAUCACCUAAAUGAGAAAAAAAACAAAAAAAAAGAAU